AUGGUGUCCAUCGCCUCCAUCCUUCCUAUGCUUCAGCAUGGAGACUACUUCGUGUCCAUAGAUUUACGAGACGCUUAUUUCCACGUAGCGAUCCGGAAAACCCACAGACGCUUCCUUUGCUUCAAGGUCCUCGACCAAACCUACCAGUUCACCGUUUUACCCUUUGGCCUCGUUACGGCCCCAAGGGUUUUCACCAAAGUCGUCGCUGUGGUGGCUGCCCACCUCAGGCUCCAAGGAAUCACAGUUUUUCCAUAUCUGGACAAUUGGCUUCUGGUCGGGUCCGACCCUGUCCUCCUCCGACGUCACGUGGACACCACCCUCAGUCUCCUAGACUCUCUCGGUCUCCAGCUAAAUCCCUACAAAUCUCACCUCUUUCCGUCGAACAAAAUCCGCUUCAUCGGCGCCUUGUUCGACUCAAUCUCUCAAACUGUCUCUCUCCCGCUCGACAGGUUUCUCGCCCUUCGCCAACAAAUCACUCUCUGCGAAAACAAUCGGAGAGUUCGAGCCCGGUGUAUCCAGGUACUCUUGGGCCACAUGGCCUCCACAGUCCUCACCACCCCGUUUGCCAGGCUCCACCUUCGGACCCUGCAGAGAUGGUUUAUAGACGUUUUCAAGCCAUCCCGCCACCUCAACUCGAGGUUCCUCUCCAUCCCGCUCCAUGUUCGUCAGUCGCUUCGCUGGUGGAAGUCCCUCUCCAAUGUUUGCAAGGGCCUCCCGUUCCAUCCGACUCCCCCCUCGAUUACCAUAACCACGGACUCCUCCAACUACGGCUGGGGAGCCCACAUGGACAGUCUCACCGUACAAGGUCUUUGGUCUCGUUCUGAGAGGACCAAUCACAUAAACUUUCUGGAACUUCUCGCCAUCUUCAAGGCUCUGAAAGCCUUCUCCCGCCUGAUCUACCAAAAAUCUGUCCUCGUUCAAUCAGACAACACAGUGGCAGUCUUCUACAUCAACAAACAAGGCGGCACGGGUUCGAGGAAGCUGAUGCUUCUCUCCUCUCAGCUGUGGGCCUGGUGCAUAGCCCACAAUAUACAGCUCCUGGCAGCUCAUCUUCCCGGGAUCCAAAACAGCUUGGCAGAUGCCCUCAGCAGGAUGACGAGUUCCUGCCACGAGUGGAUGCUCGAUCCCGAGACUCUUCUUUCUCUCUUCCACAAAUGGGGAUACCCCACCCUGGACCUCUUUGCCUCUCCCCAGAAUGCACAACUACCUCGAUACGGGGCGAGACUUCCUCCGGCCUCCUUUCCAGGCUGCCUGGGAGACGCUUUUCUUCUGGACUGGUCAUCGGAACCGAUCUACCUCUUUCCGCCUUUCCCUCUGAUACCGAAGGUCCUGCAGAAACUCCGGUCGAUAUCGACGUCGGCGAUCCUGAUAACCCCGGCCUGGCCUCGACAGCCUUGGUACCCAGCCCUUCUUCACCUCUCCAGAGGGACCUUUCUCACUCUGCCUCUUCUGCCACACCUCUUGUCCAGAGAAAACGGCCAGAUCCUGCACCUGGAUCUCCCCUCUCUACAUCUCACUGCAUGGAGAAUUCUCGCCUAA
This 1539-nucleotide long non-coding RNA is filed under the name Anolis carolinensis (green anole). Its description in RNAcentral is "lncRNA (ENSACAG00000043372.1)". The record is from RNAcentral. Lineage: Eukaryota; Metazoa; Chordata; Lepidosauria; Squamata; Anolidae.